GUGCUCAUUUUGGCAGUACAUAUGCUAAAAUUGACAUGAUACAGAGAAGAUCAUCAUGGCCCCUGUGCAAGCAUGAACUUCUCUACCCAUUAAACAAUAACUCCCCUU
Callithrix jacchus (white-tufted-ear marmoset) is the source of this 108-nucleotide small nuclear RNA. The record is from Ensembl. Lineage: Eukaryota; Metazoa; Chordata; Mammalia; Primates; Cebidae.